CACCGGCGGCCCGAGUGGUAGCCACUUUUAUUGGGUCUAAAGGGUCCGUAGCCGGUUUGAUCAGUCUUCCGGGAAAUCUGACAGCUCAACUGUUAGGCUUCUGGGGGAUACUGUCAGACUUGGAACCGGGAGAGGUAAGAGGUACUACAGGGGUAGGAGUGAAAUCUUGUAAUCCCUGUGGGACCACCAGUGGCGAAGGCGUCUUACCAGAACGGGUUCGACGGUGAGGG
RNAcentral lists this ribosomal RNA (230 nucleotides) under uncultured microorganism. RNAcentral describes it as "partial 16S ribosomal RNA". It matches the Rfam family "Archaeal small subunit ribosomal RNA", at positions 474 to 703 of the family's 1478-position model. The record is from RNAcentral.